Molecule: ribosomal RNA, 256 nt
Filed under: uncultured bacterium
Lineage: Bacteria
Description: partial 16S ribosomal RNA
Rfam family: Bacterial small subunit ribosomal RNA
Source: RNAcentral
UACGUAGGGUGCGAGCGUUGUCCGGAAUUAUUGGGCGUAAAGAGCUCGUAGGCGGUUCGGCAAGUCGGAUGUGAAAUCUCCACGCUUAACGUGGAGGGGCCAUUCGAAACUGCUGUGACUCGAGUCCGGUAGGGGAGUUCGGAAUUCCGGGUGGAGCGGUGAAAUGCGUAGAGAUCCGGAGGAACACCGAAGGCGAAGGCAGUCUCCUGGCAAGUUACUGACGCUCAGGUGCGAAAGCUAGGGGAGCGAACGAGGA